This 488-nucleotide ribosomal RNA is filed under the name uncultured beta proteobacterium. RNAcentral's name for it is "bacterial SSU rRNA". It matches the Rfam family "Bacterial small subunit ribosomal RNA", at positions 224 to 704 of the family's 1533-position model. Lineage: Bacteria; Pseudomonadati; Pseudomonadota; Betaproteobacteria. The record is from RNAcentral.
GAGCGGCCGACGUCUGAUUAGCUAGUUGGUGAGGUAAAGGCUCACCAAGGCGACGAUCAGUAGCGGGUCCGAGAGGAUGAUCCGCCACACUGGGACUGAGACACGGCCCAGACUCCUACGGGAGGCAGCAGUGGGGAAUUUUGGACAAUGGGCGCAAGCCUGAUCCAGCCAUGCCGCGUGUCUGAAGAAGGCCUUCGGGUUGUAAAGGACUUUUGUCGGGGAGAAAAUCCUGAACCCUAAUACGGUUCGGGGAUGAUAGUACCCGAAGAAUAAGCACCGGCUAACUACGUGCCAGCAGCCGCGGUAAUACGUAGGGUGCAAGCGUUAAUCGGAAUUACUGGGCGUAAAGCGUGCGCAGGCGGUUGGUUAAGCUAGAUGUGAAAGCCCCGGGCUCAACCUGGGAACUGCGUUUAGAACUGGCCAACUAGAGUACGUCAGAGGGGGGUGGAAUUCCACGUGUAGCAGUGAAAUGCGUAGAGAUGUGGAGG